UAGAAAAUGGUGUAGUGGAAGCACUAGGGGUUUUGAUCUCCUUAGUUUGGGUUCGAAUCCCUUUUUUCUAG
RNAcentral lists this transfer RNA (71 nucleotides) under Synodus foetens (inshore lizardfish). RNAcentral's name for it is "tRNA-Gln". It matches the Rfam family "tRNA". Rfam says of the family: Transfer RNA (tRNA) molecules are approximately 80 nucleotides in length. Their secondary structure includes four short double-helical elements and three loops (D, anti-codon, and T loops). Further hydrogen bonds mediate the characteristic L-shaped molecular structure. tRNAs have two regions of fundamental functional importance: the anti-codon, which is responsible for specific mRNA codon recognition, and the 3' end, to which the tRNAs corresponding amino acid is attached (by aminoacyl-tRNA synthetases). tRNAs cope with the degeneracy of the genetic code in two manners: having more than one tRNA (with a specific anti-codon) for a particular amino acid; and 'wobble' base-pairing, i.e. permitting non-standard base-pairing at the 3rd anti-codon position. Lineage: Eukaryota; Metazoa; Chordata; Actinopteri; Aulopiformes; Synodontidae. The record is from RNAcentral.